Molecule: ribosomal RNA, 253 nt
Filed under: uncultured bacterium
Lineage: Bacteria
Description: partial 16S ribosomal RNA
Rfam family: Bacterial small subunit ribosomal RNA
Source: RNAcentral
UACGUAGGGUGCGAGCGUUAAUCGGAGUUACUGGGCGUAAAGCGUGCGCAGGCGGUUCGUUGUGUCGGCGGUGAAAGCCCCGGGCUUAACCUGGGAAUGGCCGUUGAAACUGGCGAACUGGAGUGCAGAAGAGAAAAGCGGAAUUCCACGUGUAGCGGUGAAAUGCGUAGAGAUGUGGAGGAACACCAGUGGCGAAGGCGGCUUUUUGGUCUGUAACUGACGCUGAGGCGCGAAAGCGUGGGGAGCAAACAGG